GUAGUCUCGCACAGAUGCAUAUCAAUAAGCGGAGGAAAAGAAACUAACAAGGAUUCCCCUAGUAACAGCGAGUGAAGCGGGAAGAGCUCAAAUUUGAAAUCUUAAAGGGUUUCCCUUUACGAAUUGUAGUUUAAAGAAGUGUUUUCUGUUGAGGUUUUGGUAAAAGUUCUUUGGAAUAGGACAUCAUAGAGGGUGAGAAUCCCGUAUUUGACCUUUACUUUCAACUUUGUGAUACACUUUCAAAGAGUCGGAUUGUUUGGGAAUGCAGUCCAAAAUGGGUGGUAAAUUUCAUCUAAAGCUAAAUAUUGGCGAGAGACCGAUAGCGAACAAGUACCGUGAGGGAAAGAUGAAAAGAACUUUGAAAAGAGAGUUAAACAGUACGUGAAAUUGUCAAAAGGGAAGCGUUUGACACCAGUGUUGUUUUUCUGAAAAUCAAUUAAAGAACUGUUUAUGCUAAGCUGUUUAGACUUUAUCAGCUAUCUGUUUAGUUUUGAGCUUUUCUUUAAUGCACUUUUCAGUUAACAAGUCAACAUCAAUUUCUUUUGCUGUAAAAAAGCUUGAGGAAGGUGGCUUGAGAUUCGUCUUAAGUGUUUAUAGCCUCUUGCCUAUGCAGUCGGAGAGAUUGAGGUCUGCAGCGUAGAUCCUUCGGGGCUAAAUGCAUUUGUGCUAAGUUAUAGCAUUUUAUAGACAACUUGUUGACUAUGAUUUGUCUUGUAGCUUACUCGCUUAUGUUAUUUUACCUACGCUUAGGAUGUUGACAGCAGUAUAGACUGU
RNAcentral lists this ribosomal RNA (774 nucleotides) under uncultured Neocallimastigales. RNAcentral's name for it is "partial large subunit ribosomal RNA". It matches the Rfam family "Eukaryotic large subunit ribosomal RNA", at positions 24 to 634 of the family's 3401-position model. The record is from RNAcentral. Lineage: Eukaryota; Fungi; Neocallimastigomycota; Neocallimastigomycetes; Neocallimastigales.